This 1202-nucleotide long non-coding RNA is filed under the name Numida meleagris (helmeted guineafowl). Its description in RNAcentral is "lncRNA (ENSNMEG00000018734.1)". Lineage: Eukaryota; Metazoa; Chordata; Aves; Galliformes; Numididae. The record is from RNAcentral.
CAGACGUUGAAAGGAAUAACAGAACCAUAAGGCUGGAGGAGAUCUGGAAGGGUUAUCUGGCCCGGCUUAUCUCAGAGCAAGACCAGUCAGGAUUUUCCUUUCAAUGAUUGUCCCUUCCCUGUUUGUCCUCUUCAUAACUUGUUUCUCUUGCAUCUCUCCAUGCUGCUUGGUAUUCCCCCUUCUAGCUGCCAUACCUUUUCUCCUUCUGUAAGGUUUAUUGACCAAACAGUGUACUGAAUUGUCAGAAAGAGCAUGCCUAGGGAAUUUCUGAGGCCAAACAUACAAGCAUUGAGCACCAGUGACUACAGUUGAAUGCCAGUGGCUAUAUUUAUAAUCUUCUGUGCAUGAAAACAUAAUUUUCUUCAGAUCUGUCUCCAUUUGUGCAUGCUAAUGCUUACUUAUACCUUGUGGGCAGCUUAAGAAGGAAAAUGUUUAACCAAUCUUACAUACUUUACAUAAAAACUGGCUUUUGAAGGGCUUUUAAGCAUCAUCAUACUACCAUUCUCAACACAUCCCUGUAGCAUGGGUGGUCCUGGCUUACAUGAAAUGAUGAGAGGAACUCAAAUGGAGUAAAAAAAAAAAAAAGUCAAAUCAAAGAGGUAACACUGCUAAGAUUUUUGCAUUGUCUAAAUAAUACUGGCAACUAACUGUUAGUGGGUUUUUUUCUUUGCAGGGUUCUGGUGAAAGACAAAAAUCAAGCUUUUAUGACUUUGGCUUCUUAGAUGUUGCGGUGACAUUCUAAUUUAAUAAGCUAACAAUUUAUGAGUUUGCCACUUCUGAAUAGAAGACAGCCAUUGUGAGAAGAGCAGUCAAUUUUCAGCUCUAGUUGUGUCUUCAUCAUGAUUAAAAAGAACUCAUUUCAGGAGACCGCAAGAAAUCGGACUCUGGCACGCUCUGUUCUGGCCUUUCUCAGAAACAGUUGCUGGCAAUGAAAAAAUAAGAUGCUGCCCAGGCCACCUCUGCUGGGAAAGCUUUAUGUUGUGCAAGAAGGGCUCAGAUUUGGCAGAGAGAAUUGGUGAGUCUGCAGGGAGACAUCUGAAGGAUCGCAGUAUGUCCCAUGUACCUAUGAUACAGUAUUUAUGCCAUUACUCCAAUUCAGGUCUUUAGCUCUCCCUUCUUGUUUCCCAUGCUGGCUCAUGCUGACCUGUUCCCCUGUAGACAGUAUGGGCAUAACUGCUUUACCAUGGCCAAAUCAAGACAAG